RNAcentral lists this long non-coding RNA (246 nucleotides) under Monodelphis domestica (gray short-tailed opossum). RNAcentral's name for it is "lncRNA (ENSMODG00000034033.2)". The record is from RNAcentral. Lineage: Eukaryota; Metazoa; Chordata; Mammalia; Didelphimorphia; Didelphidae.
UCCCUAAGCAGCUGCACGGCUCCACCCAUCAUAUCUCUUUAGGCCUGCGGGAAGUUCUGGAAUUUCUGCCAACUUUGGCCCCAUUUUCACAUUUAUUGACAAGGGACAAAAGCGUGCAUCGAGUCAGAAGAGGAGCCUAGCACGCUCACCCAGCAGCAGAGCCCCACCACCUCCAGAGCCCUAGAAGCUACCCUCGGGUGUCUUUGGCCUCAUGGAUAGGGCAGCACCUCCUGGUCAAUGGGACAG